AUAUAGUUUGAAAACAUGGCCUACUAAUUAUAAUGUUUGAAAAUCAGGAUUAAUUUCCAUUUUUCUCUGACCCAGUUAGUUCAUUUUUCUCGUACAGCUCAAAAAAGAAUUGCGCGCUUGUUCAGUCUCAAAGAUCAAGCAAGUUAACCAAAAGGGCAUUCUUGCAUGUCUAGAUGGGUAUAUGAAUAUAGCAAUGGAGCAAACAGAAGAGUACGUCAAUGGGCAGUUGAAAAAUAAGUAUGGUGAUGCCUUCAUUCUCGGAAACAAUGGUACUUUAAAGGAUGACUUGUAAUUUUACUAUAAUUAUUCAAUUUUUUUCCCCAUAUCAGCGACUGGGUUAUCUCUUUCAUGCAAUUCUCUACAUUAGUACAUCAAAGAGGACAUUGGUAGAUGGGGCUUAGUUUUGAUGUUUAUCAAGUAAUAUAGAUCAUUAGCAGUCAUGAAUUUUAUGUUUGUAUUGUAAUGUAGGAUAAUUUAGUUUUUGGAAAUGAGGAUUAGAGAGAGCUACUCCAAAUUGGAAAAAUGAAACUUUUUUGUGAUGGAAUGAGCUGUUAUAUACUUAUAUGUUUGAUUUGAA
This is a long non-coding RNA of Quercus robur (English oak), 577 nucleotides long. RefSeq lists it as uncharacterized. Lineage: Eukaryota; Viridiplantae; Streptophyta; Magnoliopsida; Fagales; Fagaceae. The transcript is spliced from 2 exons. The record is from RefSeq and is a predicted model, not a curated record.